RNAcentral lists this ribosomal RNA (253 nucleotides) under uncultured bacterium. RNAcentral describes it as "partial 16S ribosomal RNA". It matches the Rfam family "Bacterial small subunit ribosomal RNA", at positions 524 to 776 of the family's 1533-position model. The record is from RNAcentral.
UACGGGGGGGGCAAGCGUUGUUCGGAAUUACUGGGCGUAAAGCGCGCGUAGGCGGCUAUUCAAGUCAGAGGUGAAAUGCCCGGGCUUAACCCGGGAACUGCCUUUGAAACUGUAUAGCUGGAGUGUCGGAGGGGAUGGCGGAAUUCCUAAUGUAGAGGUGAAAUUCGUAGAUAUUAGGAGGAACACCGGUGGCGAAGGCGGCCAUCUGGACGACAACUGACGCUGAGGCGCGAAAGCGUGGGGAUCAAACAGG